GGGGGCGACCUGGCUUCGACGUGGGUUGCGAAACCUUGAGUGCAUGCCGAGAUGCAGAAUCUCGUAAAUCAGCUGCAAAACUUUAGUUGCCAACAACGACAACUACGCACUCGCUGCUUAA
This 121-nucleotide transfer-messenger RNA is filed under the name Gammaproteobacteria bacterium. RNAcentral's name for it is "partial transfer-messenger RNA". It matches the Rfam family "transfer-messenger RNA", at positions 1 to 128 of the family's 374-position model. Rfam says of the family: Bacterial tmRNA, also known as 10Sa RNA or SsrA, is named for its dual tRNA and mRNA-like properties. The record is from RNAcentral. Lineage: Bacteria; Pseudomonadati; Pseudomonadota; Gammaproteobacteria.